CAGUAGCCGCGGUAAUACGAAGGGUGCAAGCGUUAAUCGGAAUUACUGGGUGUAAAGCGUGCGUAGGCGGUGAGUUAAGUCUGCUGUGAAAUCCCCGGGCUCAACCUGGGAAUGGCAGUGGAUACUGGCUCGCUAGAGUGUGUCAGAGGAUGGUGGAAUUCCCGGUGUAGCGGUGAAAUGCGUAGAGAUCGGGAGGAACAUCAGUGGCGAAGGCGGCCAUCUGGGACAACACUGACGCUGAGGCACGAAAGCGUGGGGAGCAAACAGGAUUAGAUACCCGAGUAGUCCCUGUCUCUUAUAC
Molecule: ribosomal RNA, 301 nt
Filed under: uncultured bacterium
Lineage: Bacteria
Description: partial 16S ribosomal RNA
Rfam family: Bacterial small subunit ribosomal RNA
Source: RNAcentral